CCUACGGGUGGCAGCAGUGAGGAAUAUUGGUCAAUGGGCGCGAGCCUGAACCAGCCAAGUCGCGUGAGGGAAGACGGUCCUAUGGGUUGUAAACCUCUUUUGUCGGGGAGCAAAAGACGCCACGCGUGGCGUUCCGAGAGUACCCGAAGAAAAAGCAUCGGCUAACUCCGUGCCAGCAGCCGCGGUAAUACGGAGGAUGCGAGCGUUAUCCGGAUUUAUUGGGUUUAAAGGGUGCGCAGGCGGAAGAUCAAGUCAGCGGUAAAAUUGAGAGGCUCAACCUCGUCGAGCCGUUGAAACUGGUGUUCUUGAGUGAGUGUGAAGUAGGCGGAAUGCGUGGUGUAGCGGUGAAAUGCAUAGAGAUCACGCAGAACUCCGAUUGCGAAGGCAGCAUACCGGCGUUUAACUGACGUUCAUGCACGAAAGUGUGGGUAUCGAACAGGAUUAGAUACCCCUGUAGUC
Molecule: ribosomal RNA, 459 nt
Filed under: uncultured bacterium
Lineage: Bacteria
Description: partial 16S ribosomal RNA
Rfam family: Bacterial small subunit ribosomal RNA
Source: RNAcentral